AUGAAUUAUUACUGAGAUUCUUAAUAAAGUCGUGUAUGGAAUAUGUAGUCUUAUUUACAUUUAAUUAAAAAUCAUUGAAGUAUUUAAUGACGUCCAAGUAUAACAGUACUCUCAGAGGAGGAUUCAGAUAGAGUCACAGAUUUUUCAGGGGAAGUACACCCUUAUUAUAUACAUGAAAACACAAAGUUCUAUAGUACUAUUUAGAAUACGAGCAGAUGUGCUUUAUCAGAUAUUGUAUGCUUUAUAAGAUCCAGUUUAAAAUCUGAUAAAGCACAGACACUCGCGUGUUUUAAUGGCUUAGAAAACAACUCAUCUGACGAAGUAAUCUAAACUCAUCUGACGAGUUCAUUGGCGAAGUAAAAUAAACGUUGUCUAAGCCGAGAAAACUAAAGGCUAAUGUUUAAGUAGGUUCGGUCCGCCCAGCCGUUCCCUCUUGGGGGCUCUCUUGGAGGGAACGGCUGGGCGCAUGCAGUGCGUUCCGUGUCUGAUCACGUGUUAUUACCAAUUCCAAUAUGCGAUAUUACUGCAUAAAUUAUAGAAUGUUUAUGGAUGAGUAAUAAAACAAGUCAUUAUUAAAUUAGCCAGAAAUGCUUGGCAGAUUGGAAUAAGAACGCGAUGAAUUGACUGAUGUAAAUUAGCAUCUGUUCGUGCUUGUUUUGUUUGUUCUACUGAAGUUGAAAAUGUAAAGUGUCGAACGAAAAUCGUAGGGAGAACGCGGGAAUUGCUGGAAAGUGCUUGUGAUAGUUUGUGUAUUGCUAAAGAAACAGUGCCAUGCGAUAAAUAUUUGUGCUGUUCAUGCCUGAAACAAGUUAACAAGUGCACCAAACUAUAACAAGAAAU
This is a non-coding RNA of Paramuricea clavata, 840 nucleotides long. The record is from the annotation of a GenBank genome assembly. NCBI's taxonomy places the organism in Eukaryota, Metazoa, Cnidaria, Anthozoa, Malacalcyonacea, Plexauridae.